AUUGAACGCUGGCGGCGUGCUUAACACAUGCAAGUCGUGCGGUAACAGGCGUAGCAAUACGUGCUGACGAGCGGCGAACGGGUGCGUAAUACAUGGGAAUCUGCCCUUUAGUGGGGAAUAACCCGGCGAAAGCCGGGCUAAUGCCGCAUAAGAUCUUCGGAUGAAAGCGGGGGAUCGUAAGACCUCGCGCUGAUGGAUGAGCCCAUGCCGGAUUAGCUAGUUGGUGAGGUAACGGCUCACCAAGGCGACGAUCCGUAGCUGGUCUGAGAGGACGGCCAGCCACACUGGGACUGAGACACGGCCCAGACUCCUACGGGAGGCAGCAGUGGGGAAUAUUGGACAAUGGGGAAACCCUGAUCCAGCGACGCCGCGUGUGUGAAGAAGGCCUGC
RNAcentral lists this ribosomal RNA (390 nucleotides) under uncultured bacterium. Its description in RNAcentral is "bacterial SSU rRNA". It matches the Rfam family "Bacterial small subunit ribosomal RNA", at positions 30 to 419 of the family's 1533-position model. The record is from RNAcentral.